GUGGGUUGUGGCUCAGUGGUAGAGCACUUGCCUAGCAUGUGUGAGGCACUGGGUUCAAUCCUCAGCACCACA
This 72-nucleotide transfer RNA is filed under the name Marmota monax (woodchuck). RNAcentral describes it as "tRNA.Ala". It matches the Rfam family "tRNA". From Rfam's summary of the family: Transfer RNA (tRNA) molecules are approximately 80 nucleotides in length. Their secondary structure includes four short double-helical elements and three loops (D, anti-codon, and T loops). Lineage: Eukaryota; Metazoa; Chordata; Mammalia; Rodentia; Sciuridae. The record is from RNAcentral.